UGGACAGAUUAUUGUAUUCGACUGUAUUCACGACGUGAAAUAAGGGAUUACACUGUUUUAAAACGGAAAGUGAAUCAAUUAACAUAAUAGAUUUCU
Molecule: microRNA precursor, 96 nt
Filed under: Nicotiana sylvestris (wood tobacco)
Lineage: Eukaryota; Viridiplantae; Streptophyta; Magnoliopsida; Solanales; Solanaceae
Also listed under: 1 other name
Description: MIR6152 microRNA precursor family
Rfam family: MIR6152 microRNA precursor family
Source: Rfam by way of RNAcentral